AUGCACGCCGGCGGGCGCAUCUAUUGGAGGAGCGUUACAGGAGAUCAGCUCACCUCGCUCGACGUCGGCGCCAUGGAGUUCUCCCACGUUGAGCUCCCGGGUAACCUGCACAAUCAGCCACGGUCGUACCCGUACGCCGUAGGGGAAACGGAGGACGGCACAACCUGCCUUGUGGCCAUGAGUCGCAAACUCGUCCUGCAGGUAUGGUUCCGCAUGGAGGAGGACAAGUCCUGGGAGCUACAGAGGCAGGUGAAUGCUUCCAGAUGGUAUCUGCCUCGAGGCCGAUUGCAGAAGGUCUGCGAUGUGACGGCCGGCGUCGUGCUCCUCUCCAUGGGCACGGAGAAUGGCGGCCUCCACCAUUAUGCCUUUCGCCUCAAGAACGUCCUCGAGGAAGGCACCACCACCACCAGGCCCGAGUUGGAGGCAGACUUCUUCAUAUUCGAUGCACGGGUGCAUCCCUACUUCAUGGCAUGGCCACGACCCAGCCUAAAGGCUGCUGGUAGCUCUAACACGAAGAAAACAAGUCUGAAAGAUCAAGAAGCUGGUGGCUCUAAGAAGAAUAAGAAAACAAGCGUGAAAGAUCAAGAAGCUUGCAGCUCCAAGAAGAAUUAG
Molecule: ribosomal RNA, 612 nt
Filed under: Triticum aestivum (bread wheat)
Lineage: Eukaryota; Viridiplantae; Streptophyta; Magnoliopsida; Poales; Poaceae
Description: partial small subunit ribosomal RNA
Source: RNAcentral